Cornus florida is the source of this 2794-nucleotide long non-coding RNA. RefSeq lists it as uncharacterized. NCBI's taxonomy places the organism in Eukaryota, Viridiplantae, Streptophyta, Magnoliopsida, Cornales, Cornaceae. The record is from RefSeq and is a predicted model, not a curated record. The transcript is spliced from 3 exons.
AUUUGUAAUCGUUUUGGACUUAUUCACCGACCUUACAGCAGACCUACUCGCAAACCCUGGAGUUGACAGGGCAUCGGCCUAUAUUAUCAAGCGUCAGAAGCAGCGGGCCAAGCUAGAAGGCGAAGGCUUCUCCGCAACUACUAAUUCGUUUUCUUCAUCCUGAGUCUUGGUGAAGCACGAGAACCAGAGAACAAAUCUUGAUCGUUAUAAAAGACACCACGAAGACUCGAGUUCUGAUCCAAUUUUGCUUAUUAGCGAAAAAUCGGUUUAGGCCAAAAGACAUGGUUUGCUCCACUUUUCUCAAAUUGAGAUCACUGCUAUGAGCGAGAAAGACUCCACUAAGAAGCGUUGUUAGCCUUCUCUUAUACCGCUUUCUCUCUCUCUCUCUAUAUAUAUAUCUUAUGGAGUUGAUCGAUUCAAUAAGUAGAUGCUGUGAUCGGAUUGAAUAUCUAUGGAGUGCCACUGAGUUAAAGGUACUGGGUACGGUGUGGAUCUAAGCUUGGUUUGUGCAAGCGGAGUUUGAAUAGCAAAGAGGUCCCUCCACCGAUCAAGGAUCAACAAUCUUGUUUCGGCUCUCUGUAUAAAGAAAUUUGUACACAUCAAAAGAAAAGAUCAUAAGAGAUCGUUUGUUUCCAAAGAAACUAAGAAAAUUCCUAAAGCUUAAACAUGGAAGCCUCUGCCAUUACCAAGAUCCUAUGCGGUUAUAAGUUUCACCCCACUGACCCAGAGUUGAUUCACUAUCUUUCGUGCAAGACUAAUGAAGCACCGUUGCCAUGCCAGGGUGUUGUCAAUGAUGUAUUUGACCUUUACGGCAAAGAGCCGUCUGAGCUUUUUCAGGGAUUCAAAGAGAAGAUUCUUUAUUUCUUCAAUGAAAAGGGCUCCAGGAUUAGUCGUGUGAAAUUUUACUUAUGGAGUUGUUUGGCAAAUUCGUUCACCCAAUAGUUGCAUUCUUCUUGUUGCAAGUCCUUCUGUGAUCAAGUUGCAGUUUUCUGGUUGCAAGGCUAUUGGUUCCGGUUCGAUUCCUUUGGUAUAAAGUUGCAGUCUUCUAGUUGAGGCCAUUGGAUCUGGUUCGAUUCCUUCUUUGAUCAAGUUGCAGUUUUCUGUUUAAAUUAGUAUGACUUGUGGUUCAAUAGUUGCUUUUAUGAUCGCGUUGCAGGCCUCUGCUGCCACUUCCCUUUUUUGUCGUUUAAUUUGGGAAAUUACAUAAUCUUUUACUUUUGCUCUUUUCACUUUUUAGAUUAGUGAUGCCAAUAUUGUACUCGGUCAUGCUCCAUCCACUCUUUUUAGGAUCAGACUCGACAUAAUAAGUAAAAUUUCUCUUCAUUCCAAUCAUUGUUUCUUCUCCUUCUCCUUCAUUACCAGUAACACCAUCUUUGAUAUCUUUAGCCUUGUCUUGGCCCUUCCAAUUACCAAUCCUCUUCACACCACUAAUCCUGGAGCCCUUUUCUUAUACGUCUUUAUAUAUAUAUAUAUAUGAGCGAGAAAGACUCUACUAAGAAGCAGAUGUUGUGAUCGGAUUGACUAUCUAUGGAGUGCCACUGAGUUAAAGGUACUGGAUAUUGUGUGGAUCUAGGCUUGGUUUGUGCAAGCGGAGUCUGAAUAGCAUAGAGUUCCCUCCACCAGUCAAGGAUCAACAACAAUCUUGUUUCAGCUUUCUCUAUAAAAAAAUUUGCACACAUCAAAAGGAAAGAUCAUAGGAGAUCGUUUGUUUCCAACGAAAACUCAAGAAAAUUCGUAAACAUGGAAGCCUCUGCCAUUACCCAGAUUCUAUGCAGCUAUAAGUUUCACCCCACUGACCAGGAGUUGAUUCACUAUCUUUCGUGCAAGGCCAAUGAAGCACCAUUGCCAUGCCAGGGUGUUGUCAAUGACGUAUUCGACCUUUACGGCAAAGAAUCGUCCGAGCUUUUCCAGGGAUCCAAAGAGAAGAUUCUUUAUUUCUUCACUAAGUUGAAGAAGAAGCAUGAAAAGGGCUUCAGGAUUAGUCGUGUGAUGAGGAUUAGUAAUUGGAAGGGCGAAGACAAGGCUAAAAAUAUCAGAGAUGGUGUUACUGGAAAUAAAGAAGAAGGAGAAGAAACAGUGAUUGAAAUGAAGAGAAAUUUUACUUAUUAUGUCAAGUCUGAUCCUAAGAAGAGUGGAUGGAGCAUGACCGAAAGGCGGCACUAAUCUGAAAAGAGCAAAAGUAAAAGAUUAUGUCAUUUUCUGAAUUAAACGACAAAAAGAAGGUGCAAUGGAAGUGGCAGCAGAGGCCUGCAACACGAUCAUAGCAGCAUCAAUUGAACCCCAAGUCAUAGUAAUACAACCAGGAAACUGCAACUUGAUCAAAGAAGGAAUCGAACCAGAACCAAUGGCCUUGCAAUCAGAAGACCGCGACUUUAUCACAGAAGGAAUCGAACCGGAACCAAUAGCCUUGCAACCAGAAAACUGCAACUUGAUCACAGAAGGAAUCGAAAUGGAACCAAUAAUGGCCUUGCAACCAGAAGAAUGCAACUAUUGGGUGAACGAAUUUACCAAACAACUCCUCCAGAAUCAAGAAGAAAUAGGAGAGGGUGAAACAGUGUUGCUGCCAAAUAUUUUUUAUGGUGGUAGUUGGUGCUUUUCAGAGAAUGAUGUAACCAUUUUUUGAAUUGGUGAGAAUUUGGGUCAACUUUUCAGUUUUAGCAACUGUCUGUUGGGUUUUGCUAAUAGAAGGUAGGGUUUUGAUGGUGUUUGAUGUGAAUUUCUAGAACUGAUUAUGAUUGCGUAACUUUGGUUCAUGGAAUUUUGCUAGUAAAUGGUGCUUAUUUUUGGGCUUCAA